RNAcentral lists this ribosomal RNA (119 nucleotides) under Pteropus alecto (black flying fox). Lineage: Eukaryota; Metazoa; Chordata; Mammalia; Chiroptera; Pteropodidae. The record is from RNAcentral.
GUCUAUGGCCAUUCCAUCCUGAACGUGCCCGAUCUCGUCUGAUCUCGGAAGCUAAGCGGGGUCAGGCCUGAUUCGUACUUGGAUGGGAGACCACCUAGGACUAUCAGGUGCUGUAGGCG